This 1171-nucleotide long non-coding RNA is filed under the name Callithrix jacchus (white-tufted-ear marmoset). RNAcentral's name for it is "lncRNA (ENSCJAG00000070233.1)". The record is from RNAcentral. Lineage: Eukaryota; Metazoa; Chordata; Mammalia; Primates; Cebidae.
UGCUUGAAUCUCCCUGCCCAAACUUGUCUCAAUGUUUCAACAUUAGUAGAAAAAAAAAAGAAUUUAAAAUAGCAUCCAGUUCUAUCCUUAGAAGACAUUCCUUGUUCAGGCAGAAUUAUCAUCACGAGUGGAACUAAAAAUCAAUUAAAACUUUAUAUUUGUCAUGGGCCAAAUGGGGGUGGGGGUAAGAUGUGUAUUGAAGAAUUUCAUUUAAUAGUUGUUCUAAAAGGAGAAUAUACAGAGUCACACUGAUUAAGGAACAGAAAUCAAUUUUAAGACCUAACUCUUUUCCCCCAAAAAUGAGAAGUGUAGAAGCAAAAACAAACUUCCACCCGUAAUCAUAAUGGGAAAUUUUAUAUGUAGUACAUCAUGGCAGAUAAACAGAUAUUUUUAUGAAAAUCUGUAAGUGGGCACUGGUUCUCAGCAGCCUAAUAAAAUAUCACUUUAAUGGAUAAUAAGGCAUAAAACUUUUCUUAAUAUAUUUAAAAUCUAUUUAUGGAGUACCUGCUAUAUGUCUGUUGCUGAUCUAUUUGCUAAAGGGAGACAUACAGAGCAGUGAUUCUCCAACUUUAUUGUACAGUAGAAUCACAGAGAAAGCUUUUAAACAUCCCAAUAUUAAGACCACACCUAAAACAUCAGAGUUUCUGUGGGGCAUGCAACUAGUUCAAAUACCACCAGUCCAAACAGACCCCAUAGUUUUAACUUAAGGGUGUAUUUAUAAUGUUGAUUAUAUACUUAUUAAAGCCCAUUCAGUGUGUGUGUGUGUGAAAGAGAGAGAUAGAAAGAGAGAUCAUUAAUGAUUUAAAUAGGUCAGCAUAACUAUGGUAUUUGGAAUGUGAAGGAGAAUUUGUCCUAAUUUGAGAUCUCAUUUCUAUUAACACAAGAGAAUUUGUGGAAAGGUGAACAGUAGUACACUUCUCUCAUAAUUUCCUCUGAUUUUUCUGUUGAAAUGUUGGUGUCAGAUUAUAUAACUCCCACUGGGCUGCAAAUAAGCUACACUAAAAAAAAGUGAUGGAUGUGAGCACAUGAGCUGUCAUAUAAUAAAGAUAAAGAUUUCUUUUUCUAAAUUUAUAUAGCAUCAUGAGGAGACAUAGCCUGCCUGAACUCGUGCAAUUAUUACGAACAUUCUGUAAGUGAAAGAAAACAGGUCUGUAAUCAGCUUUAUAAAUGA